CAAAUCAUGGUGUCAGGACUCCU
RNAcentral lists this non-coding RNA (23 nucleotides) under Mus musculus (house mouse). The record is from RNAcentral. Lineage: Eukaryota; Metazoa; Chordata; Mammalia; Rodentia; Muridae.